ACGUCCUACGGGGCGCAGCAGUGGGGAAUAUUGGGCAAUGGGCGCAAGCCUGACCCAGCAACGCCGCGUGAAGGAAGAAGGCUCUCGGGCUGUAAACUUCUUUUAUCAGGGACGAAGCAGGUGACGGUACCUGAUGAAUAAGCCUCGGCUAACUACGUGCCAGCAGCCGCGGUAAUACGUAGGUGGCAAGCGUUAUCCGGAUUUACUGGGUGUAAAGGGCGUGUAGGCGGGAAAGCAAGUCAGAUGUGAAAACCAUGGGCUCAACCUGUGGCCUGCAUUUGAAACUGUUUUUCUUGAGUACUGGA
Molecule: ribosomal RNA, 305 nt
Filed under: uncultured bacterium
Lineage: Bacteria
Description: bacterial SSU rRNA
Rfam family: Bacterial small subunit ribosomal RNA
Source: RNAcentral